GACGAACGCUGGCGGCGUGCUUAACACAUGCCAGUCGAACGGAAAGGCCCUGCUUUUGUGGGGUGCUCGAGUGGCGAUCGGGUGAGUAACACGUGAGUAACCUGCCCUUGACUUUGGGAUAACUUCAGGAAACUGGGGCUAAUACCGGAUAGGAGCUCCUGCUGCAUGGUGGGGGUUGGAAAGUUUCGGCGGUUGGGGAUGGACUCGCGGCUUAUCAGCUUGUUGGUGGGGUAGUGGCUUACCAAGGCUUUGACGGGUAGCCGGCCUGAGAGGGUGACCGGCCACAUUGGGACUGAGAUACGGCCCAGACUCCUACGGGAGGCAGCAGUGGGGAAUAUUGCACAAUGGGCGGAAGCCUGAUGCAGCAACGCCGCGUGCGGGAUGACGGCCUUCGGGUUGUAAACCGCUUUCGCCUGUGACGAAGCGUGAGUGACGGUAAUGGGUAAAGAAGCACCGGCUAACUACGUG
This 468-nucleotide ribosomal RNA is filed under the name uncultured bacterium. RNAcentral describes it as "partial 16S ribosomal RNA". It matches the Rfam family "Bacterial small subunit ribosomal RNA", at positions 28 to 507 of the family's 1533-position model. The record is from RNAcentral.